UGAGUGCGGCCAUGUUCCUCGGG
RNAcentral lists this non-coding RNA (23 nucleotides) under Mus musculus (house mouse). Lineage: Eukaryota; Metazoa; Chordata; Mammalia; Rodentia; Muridae. The record is from RNAcentral.